Molecule: ribosomal RNA, 498 nt
Filed under: uncultured bacterium
Lineage: Bacteria
Description: partial 16S ribosomal RNA
Rfam family: Bacterial small subunit ribosomal RNA
Source: RNAcentral
GACGAACGCUGGCGGCGUGCCUAAUACAUGCAAGUCGAGCGGACGGAUGGGAGCUUGCUCCCAGACCGUCAGCGGCGGACGGGUGAGUAACACGUGGGCAACCUGCCUGUAAGACUGGGAUAACUCCGGGAAACCGGGGCUAAUACCGGAUAACUCUUUCCCUCACAUGAGGGAAAGCUGAAAGAUGGCAUCUCGCUAUCACUUACAGAUGGGCCCGCGGCGCAUUAGCUAGUUGGUGAGGUAACGGCUCACCAAGGCGACGAUGCGUAGCCGACCUGAGAGGGUGAUCGGCCACACUGGGAAUGAGACACGGCCCAGACUCCUACGGGAGGCAGCAGUAGGGAAUCUUCCGCAAUGGACGAAAGUCUGACGGAGCAACGCCGCGUGAGUGAUGAAGGUUUUCGGAUCGUAAAACUCUGUUGUCAGGGAAGAACAAGUACCGGAGUAACUGCCGGUACCUUGACGGUACCUGACCAGAAAGCCACGGCUAACUACGUG